Molecule: long non-coding RNA, 8577 nt
Organism: Mus musculus (house mouse)
Lineage: Eukaryota; Metazoa; Chordata; Mammalia; Rodentia; Muridae
Product: predicted gene 12227
Exons: 2
Source: RefSeq, a predicted model, not a curated record
UUCAUACGGCCUGCAGACAGGACUGGGUAAUCCAGUGUGAGGCACUGGGGUUUUGUUUGUGGCAAUGGACAGUACGGUGAAGGAGCGCACAGCUGUAAUAGCACUGUUUGCCUGGGAGCUGAAGCAGGAAGGUUCCAGGACAGUCUAAGCUCCACCCUUCCUCAAAGGUAACCCUGUUUCUGAGCUGGGCACUCGAGUCUACAGCAUGAAACACAUCUAUCUGGGACUAAAAAGUCUCUGAGACAUGGGAGGAAAACACAAUAAAUACUACUUUUAUUUUUCAUUAUUCUUAAAGAUUUUAGUCCUUCAAAUACUUGAUAUACAGGGUGCUAUGAGGCUAUAAGGUGUGUUGUUUCUACAAAAGUUAUUAAAAACAAUAAACAGAAAAUAUUGAGUUAUAUUAGUACUUAACCUAAAUCUACCAAUGAAAGAUGCAUAGCAGAGCUUCCUAGGAUGCAUUCCUCCUGCAGACAUGUGCCUUUCAAAAUGCCAGAAUGCCUAAGUGUGGUGGUUUGGAUAAGAAUGGCACCAAGAGACUCACGUGUGAACACUUCGUCAUCAGGGUGUGGCAGUACUUGAGAAGGAUUAGGAAGUGUGAUCUUGUUAGGUCUUGUUGGAGGAAGUGUGCCAUGGGGGAGCCACUGAGAUUCUGAGAUUUCGAAAGCCCAUGCUAAACCCAGUUCUCCUGUCCCCUCACCCCUCAUCUCUCUCUGAUUUUUCCUUUGCCUACAGAUCAGGAUGUGACCCUCAGCUACUGCUCCACUGUCAUGCUCCCUGCCAUGAUGAGAAUGGAUUAAGUCUGAGAGGGUAAGCCAACCCCAGCUAAACGCUGUUCUUUAUAAAAGUUUCCUAGGUCACACUGUCUCUUCACAGCAACACAUCAGUGACAAAGACGCUGACCUCAUGCUGCAAAUGCCCAUGGGCCAAAAAAUGAGGAAUGAAAUUGGGGAAUUUUAUUUCAAGAAACUUUUAAUUUGUGUAUCACCCUGAUUCAUAACCUAACAGUCAAAUGAACCCAGUAUCAUGCACAUUAAAAUCAGACAGCACAAGAAUAAAAUUCAACAUAAGAUGCUAAUUUUGAUUCAGUAAGAGCCUGAGUCAGAGGAGAAAGUAGAGAAAAAGGAAGGAAUUAGGACACAAACACAAGCCCCAACCCCACCCCAGAGCUUUUCAGUUAGAAAUGUCAGUCAGCUGACUGAGAGCUUGCCUAGCAUGCACAGAGCCCAGGGUUGGAUCCCCAAGCACCACAUAAAACCAGGGUUGGGGGCCUGUCAAACACAGAAGUGGAUGCUCACAGUCAGCUAUUGGAUGGAUCACAGGGCCCCCAAUGGAGGAGCUAGAGAAAGUACCCAAGGAGCUAAAGGGGUCUGCAACCCUAUAGGUGGUACAACAAUAUGAACUAACCAGUACCCCCAGAGCUCGUGUCUCUAGCUGCAUAUGUAUCAGAAGAUGGCCUAGUCGGCCAUCAUUGGGAAGAGAGGCCCCUUGGUCUUGCAAACUUUAUAUGCCUCAGUACAGGGGAACGCCAGGGCCAAGAAGUGUGUGUGUGAGGGGGGGGGGGGGCUGGGGGACUUUUGGUAUAGCAUUUGAAAUGUAAAUGAAGAAAAUACCUAAUUAAAAAAUAAAAACAAAACAAAAAAACAAACCAGGGUUGGUGGUACACAGCUGUAACCCUAACACUCUUGGGAAGGUGAAAGUGGGAUCAGAAGAAGUCAUAGGAAGUCUGAGGCCAGCCAGGGAUACACAAGACUCUGUAGGUAGAUGAUAGAUAGAUAGAUAUAUAGAUAGAUAGACAGACAGAUAGAUAGACAGACAGAUGUUCAGACAGAUUAGAUGAGAGAGAGAGCACAAGCUUGCUCAAAACUAGUCUGCACAUUUAUCCAAUUUCAUGAAUCUCUAAACUCAACACAGAUCUAACUGAAAUCUCAACAGGUCUUUCAGAAAACCUGACAAACUUUGAAAUUUGUAUGGAAGAUUCCACUAAGACUGGCCAAAACAUAAAAUAAAAACUAAACGACAGAUCUGCCUUUCCAGACACCAUGACAAUAUAAAACAGUAAAAUAGAGACCAUGAUAUCAGCAUAAUGCUGAGCUCAGGAAAGGCAGGAUGAAGAGACUCGGAGUGUGGCUCACACAUGAUGUGUGGACACUCGUUUUAGAGGCUAAGCUAGAAAGACACUUAUGAAGCAUGUUACAACACACUCUCAUAGAUCUCUUACCAGGGACAAAGGACUACUGGCGCAAUGAGUGGUGGGGCAAAAAGUCACCACAUAGAAAAAUAAGCACAAUUAGAUUCUUUCUUCCAAAGCCAACUCCAAGCCCAGCAUGGUGGUGCACACCUGAAACCUCUACACUCAAAAGGCUGCGACAAGAGAAACGUGUGAGUUCAAGUUCAGCCUGGGCCACACAAGCAAGACUUUUGUCUCAAAAAACAAACAAAACAACAUACAUUAAUUCACUACAGGCUUUUAUUAUAUAUGGCAACUGAUUCUACUUUUACAAGAAAGUCUAGGUAAGUGUCUUUAUAACUCAAAACGUUUUUAAACAAGACACUCAACAUAAAAACCUGUGCCUAUAACCCUACAGUUGGGGAGGCAAAGACAGGAGGCUGUUUGGUGCUCGUUAGCCAGCUAAUAUUGCUGAGUCAGAGAGCUAAGGUCAGUGAGGAAGAGGACGGCACUGUCGUUAGUCUCUGGCUUUCCCGAGCGUGUACACAGACCUGCAUGGAUCCUAUGUGUACACACAACCAAUAGUUUGCAUUCAGAUAUUACGAAUAUGCCCAUGACUAUGGAAUACAGAAAAUCACACUGAUCAAUAAACAUCAAGAGAUGCUAAGCUCUGUGCUGCAUAUGCAGCUCAGGGGGCAGAGCACUUGCCUAGCAUGCACAAAUGAAACCCGAGACUAAGUGUGCCUGUGACCCAUAAUCCAAGCAUUUGGAAGGUGGAGGAAAGAUCAAAAACACAAGGUGGAUGAUGGGCCUGGUGAUGCACGCCUUUAAUCCCAGCACUCCAGAGGCAGUAGGAUCUCUGUGAGUUCCAGAGAUCUGUAGAGAGACCUUGUCUCAAAAAACAAACAGCACAAGGUCAUCUGUGGCUAUACAGUAACUUUGAGGCUAGCCUGGGAUACAUGAGACCCCACUUCAAAACAUAAAAGAGGUUAGCAAGAUAGCUCAAUAGGUAAAGACACUUGCUGCCAAACCUAAGGAUUUGUGUUCAGUUCCCUGGGAUCCACAUGCUAGAGGAAGAGAACUGAUUCCCAUAGUUGUCCUCUGACCUCCACCUGCAUGUUAUGACAUGUCUCCCUAAAUAAUGUAAUAAUAUUUUUAAAAAUUAAGAAAGAAAAAAAGGGAGAGUAAAAGGUGUGGGGGGGGGCUGUGAUGGUUUUUAUAUGCUCAGCCCAGGAAGUGGCACUAUUAGGUGUGGCCCUGUUGGAGUAGGUGUGUCACUGUGGGUGUGGGUUUAAAGACCCUUACCCUAGCUGCCUGGAAGCCAGUAUUCUGCUAGCAGCCUUCAGAUGAAGAUGUAGAACUCUCAGCUCUGCCUGCACCAUGCCUGCCUGGAUGCUGCCCUGUUCCCACUUUGAUAGUAAUGGACUGAACCUCUGAACCUGUAAGCCAGCCCCAAUUAAAUGUUGUCCUUUAUAAAACUUGCCUUGCCUUGGUCAUGGUGUCUGUUCACAGCAGUAAUUAACAUGAGGAACAAAAAGGAGAAAACAGAAAAAUCAGAGAAUUUCACUUUACCCAUUAGACUGUUAAAAACUAAGGUAAAAACAUCAUCAAUGAAGAUUCUGUGACAGCCAAAGCAGCCAACACUGCUACAGGAACCAUGGGUAUUAGAGUCAGUUGUCACUAUCCUAUGAGACUGACUUUUCAUGACCCACAGCUCAAAUUCCCAAUUUACAAGGGAGCAGACAGGACAAGAGCCAGGUCCAACCAAGGGGCAAGUGUAAAAAACCCUUUCCCCAAACAAGACAUCCAUCCCCGCUGGUCAUUCUGGCACUGGUGAGCAUUGCUGCGAUGAUGAUUCUGGCAUAACAUGUGAAUUCUACAGAUUCAUAAAUCAAAAAGGAUUUGAUUUUGCUUUAAAUACUAAUGUGCUCACUUGUUUUUCAGCUGUAACCUCGAGGUGCCUAUAAAUUACAACUGCAAGGUAGCUAAGCUGUAAGAAUACAGGAGAGAGGAUGAGGGAGGGAGGGAGGGAGGGAGGGAGGGAGGGAGGGAGGGAAGGAAGAGGGGGUGGAGAAAGGGAGGAAGGGAGAGGGGGAGAAGGAGAGGUCCCAAUCUAAAUUGAAUCAAGAUCAAUUUAAGAAAAGUACUAAAAGAUGAGAUAUAACUUUUAUUUAUAAGCAAAUAAAUAUCAGAAAACAGAAUCCAGGGCGUGUGUAAGUUCCAGGUGAGCCACACAGCAUCACAGGCUAGCACUGGCCACACUCAGGGGUUAUCUUUUAAAUAAAUAAAAGGCUUUUCACUGUCUCUGACUCACUUCCCCAUCUUGAACCCAAUCUGUACCUAGCUCUCCAAUAGUUCCUAACUGCUUAGGAAUACACAUAGCAGGGCUGGAUCAUCAAAGCCUUCCUAAUUUCUUAAGGAACCGCUAAAUGAAGACAAUGUCAUACUCUGUACUUACAAUUAUAGUACUUGUACAAGAAAUACAGCAUACAGGAAACACAUGCAUUAGUCAGCUCUUUGUUUCUAUCACAAAAUACCAGGUAAGAGGCUUAAAAAGAGGAAAUGUCUAUUCUGGCUCAGCCUUGGAGGCUUUGGGGCAUGGUUGGCUGCCCCAUCAAAUCUAGAAAAUAUGUCACACGGAAGCACAAAGCACAGAAGCUGUGCAGUCAAGAGGAACACACUCCAACGGCAUCGUGCAGACUACUGAAUCCGUCCCCAGUGAAGUGUGACCUCUUACGGGUUGGUUCCACCACUGCCCAGAACUCAACACCAUCCCUAACUGCAGAUCCAGCCUCGCUGACGUCAUAGCACAAACACCCAGGAGGCAGGCAGCUUCUGCCUAACAGUCUUGGGAAUUUGGGGGCUCAAUCACACAACUACAUUUCAAUCAGUCCUCUUCAAUGACCUUCCAAAAGAUAGGGCCAUUUUUUCCCCAUCUUAAUUGAUAAGGAUGACCUUUUUUCUUAAAUUACAUUCAUGUACUUAAGUGUCUUGAGACAAUUAUAAUUAUGAUUUUGUGUGAUAUUAAAUGAAUUAAGAACAGGCACUUCUGUUUUCAGAAUGAUCGGCAUAAUGCCUGAUUACCUCAGCAGCCACUCCUGCGUCACAGUGACCCCUGAAAUCACACAGGGCCAGGACUGCUGGCUGCUGCUCUCCCACUUCACUGAAGACAGAUUUUCUACAAGACCCAAGCAGUCCAUCAAAUCCAUCUCCUCAACCACUUCCCUUGAAGAUUCGCCAACUCUCGUGCUCUGAUGCCUGGUGGCAGGGCUAGCAGUCAUUUGGAGCCUCCCUCCCGCUUUGCUGUACAUCAGAGCAACACAUGGCAGAAAAAAAGCCAACACACCACAAACUCAGCUCCUGAAGCUGAGGAGAUGCUGCCCUGUGUGAGCGCGCCCGUCACUAGUCUCUUGGCUCAAACAUGCAACAGUUGUUUAGGUUGCUUGUUUGUUUUCACAAAGAAUAAAACCAAAGUGUUCUGUGACCUGGAAAAGCUAAAGGCUCUGGUCCUCUCUCUGGCCUCCCUCCACCAGGGUCCCCCUGCUCCCAGCACGGGGCUUCACGGCUAUCCUCGCACGCUGCACUUGUUUUGCUGGCUCUAGGCUCGUUGACAAAAAUCCGCCUCCCUCGUGAGGUUGAGUGCUACUUACUGCUCUCCCCUAGUCCUUGCUUCUCGCCUGCUUCGAGGCCUGGACUCACGCGUACAUCCCUGUCGUCUUUACCAGCACUCCAUUCCCAUAAAUGUCUGUUCAGUACUUGGCUCCCUCAGAAAUUCCAAGGUCCUGUUGAAGACUCAAACACAUGGAAGCUCGACAAACCUCAUCUCUGCCAUGUGGGGGUCUGAAAGGAAGCCAUGCCAUUUAAACAGAAGUGGUAUUCCCUAGAAUCAGUGUUCACUCUGUAAUGACACAAAGCUGCCAGUAUCCUACAGCACAGCAACUAAAAGCAGUUGAUCAAACUUCUUAAAUUCAGUUACAGGGCAUAUGAACUCAAUUAAAAAACCUACAGGCUUAGUGCUACUUAACAGCAGCAAUGACCUAUGUACUAUGGAAACACCAGGGCUCUAUUAUUCUCUGUAUUGCAUGGUGUUACCAUGAAGGAAGACUAGAAAGAGAUCCUUAGCCACUGUGCAGAAAACUGCUUCCUAUUUUCUUUCCUGCAUGAGGUUCUUCCCUUUGCACCCAUGGAAUGUGUAAAAGCAGCGUCAUAAAGGAGUGGGAGAGCUGGCAUGUGGCACUUGUUUAGCAAAUACUUCAGAAAACUCUAAGAGGUGACCAAGCAACUUUCAGAGAAGGCUAUCUGACACUGGUUGCAAGAACAGAAUAGGGGUGCUCUUUAAAUCUGUGCUUUGGGCCAACAGCAUAGCCAACUCUUCAGUUAUGGUGACCACAUAAUCUGAUGUAUACUUUUUCUCAGAAAGUAAAGAGGGCUAAAGAUAACUGUAGAAUAGAUUUAUAUAAAUACAUGCAUCUUUAUAAUAUGACUGACAUGCCAAAUGUUACACACUAGAAAGAAGACUCCGUUUCUACUGUCCAUCUCUCAGAACUCCAAGGCCUAGUUUCCAGAUGCUAAAGUCCUCACUAGGUGUGAGAGUGCUCAAGCAGCAUGCUCACUUCACUAUACACACUCUUCUCAAGCAUGGCACCACAGGGCUGGAGAGAUGGCUCAAUGGUUAAAGUGCUUGCCAUGCAAGAGUGAGGACUAGAGUUUGGAUCCCUAGAACCCCUGUGCUGGGUAAGCACGCAGCCCACCUGUAAGUCUAGCCACCAAAAGCAGAGACAAGACAACUCUCUAGAGUAAGCUGGUUGGAGAUACUAGCUGUGUCAGUAAGCUCUAGGUUUGACUGAUAGACCCUGCCUCAGUGAUUACAGUAGAAGAACAAUGGAAGAUAAUUCUUGAUAUCAACUCUGGGACUCCACUACAUGUGCACACACACGACCCAUACCAUACAUGGAAAAUAAGGACACACACAUGCACAAAACAGAAAAGGAAUAAAAUGUAUGGCAAUGUGAUGUUGUCUUUGGGAUGACCUGUAAGGAGCUUGGGCACUGCCACAAAUAACACACAAGAAAAGCCUGACCAAAUUGAAAUCUACUACUCUUCUUAGGUUCACUGGCAACAGGGGACUCAGAGAAAACUGCUCUUAAGAGACAAGCAUCGGAGCAUCACAACCACCAGAGCAAAAACCUGCAAAGCAUCUAGCACUGGGACAGAAAAGCCAUGUGUCAUGGGAGAACCCUGAGCUAAACCAGGAAGUGUUUCAUUCCAUGGCUCUCUAGAUCCCAUUCAAAUCACAUUAAGCCAGGGUUGUCAGCUAUCAACACUAUCAAUGAGGUGGGUCUUAGAUAAUGAAAGUAAGAGUCCCUAAAGAGAUUACUGCUAGGCUGGGCACGCUGACACACCCCUUUAAUCCCAGCACUUGGGAGGCAAACACAGGCAGAUCUGUGACGUUGAAGUUAGCCUGCCUGGUCUAUGUAGCAAGUUCCAGGCCAGCCAGAGCUUUUCUCUGCAGUGGGCAGCAGUUAAUGCUGAGACGUAUACUGGUCAGUGUGACCACUGAGUGCUCAGAACUAACGGGGACAUCUGUAUCAAGCCCUCUGUGCGUACUCCCAAGGCUCAGAGCACAUCCUAGAAAGAAGAAACAGAAAGAAUGUAAGAGCUGGAAGAGGAGGUGAUGCCGCCAUCUGUAUACGAAAUACCAUCGCACCAUCAGUUCACUGGGGUUGCCUGCCUGAGAGAAGGCAGACAGCACCAGUCAGCACUCCAGGAAGCAGCACUAAGUGGGUUCCCCUACAACAGAGAGGGGAAAGGGAGACAUGGAGUAGAUGAAGGAAGUGAGAGGUAGAUUAAAAAUACACUGUCUACAUGUACAGAUAGAAGACUUCCUGUUUAAAAUCGAUUCCAAAAAGAAAAAUGAUAAAAUGUCAGAAAAUAAAUCAGUCUGUAGGUAAGAGCUGACUGGCUCAGUGAGUAGAGGGAUCCGUCACCAAGGGUGAUGACAUGAGUUUGGUCCCUGGAACCCACAAGAUGGAAAGAGAGAACUUCCCUAAGUCGUCCUCUGACCUCCACUUGAGCACUGUGGUAUGCCACCCCUCUCACCACACAAAAUAAAUAAAACUUAAAAAAAAAAAAAAAAAAAAAGUCAGGCGGUGGUGGCACACGCCUUUAACCCCAGCACUCAGGAGGCAGAGGCAGGUGGAUUUCUGAGUUCAAGGCCAGCCUGGUCUACAGAGUGAGUUCCAGGACAGCCAGGGCUACACAGAGAAACCCUGUCUCAAAAAACCAAAAAAAGAAAAAAGAAGAAGAAAAGGAAAAAAAAAGUAAUAUUCAGAGAUAUUUAGGACACAAAAAUGUCUCAACUAAAUCAUUAUUAAGCUAAUUUCAGUGUUUCAGAAGAUGUACAUGUAUUA